This 253-nucleotide ribosomal RNA is filed under the name uncultured bacterium. Its description in RNAcentral is "partial 16S ribosomal RNA". It matches the Rfam family "Bacterial small subunit ribosomal RNA", at positions 524 to 776 of the family's 1533-position model. The record is from RNAcentral.
UACGGGGGGGGCAAGCGUUGUUCGGAAUUACUGGGCGUAAAGGGCUCGUAGGCGGCCAACUAAGUCGGACGUGAAAUCCCUCGGCUUAACCGGGGAACUGCGUCCGAUACUGGAUGGCUGGAGGUUGGGAGAGGGAUGCGGAAUUCCAGGUGUAGCGGUGAAAUGCGUAGAUAUCAGGAGGAACACCGAUGGCGAAGGCAGGUCUCUGGGCUGACACUGACGCUCAUGCACGAAAGCGUGGGGAGCAAACAGG